UAGGGAAUCUUCGGCAAUGGACGGAAGUCUGACCGAGCAACGCCGCGUGAGUGAAGAAGGUUUUCGGAUCGUAAAGCUCUGCUGUUAGAGAAGAACGUUUGUAGGAGGGGAAAAUCUACCAAGUGACGGUAACUAACCAGAAAGGGACGGCUAACUACGUGCCACCAGCCGCGGUAAUACGUAGGUCCCGAGCGUUGUCCGGAUUUAUUGGGCGUAAAGCGAGGGCAGGCGGUUCUUUAAGUCUGAAGUUAAAGGCAGUGGCUUAACCAUUGUACGCUUUGGAAACUGGAGGCCUUGAGUGCAGAAGGGGAGAGUGAAAUUCCAGGUGUAGCGGUGAAAUGCGUAGAUAUAUGGAGGAACACCGGUGGCGAAAGCGGCUCUCUGGUCUGUAACUGACGCUGAGGCUCGAAAGCGUGGGGAGCAAACAGG
This 429-nucleotide ribosomal RNA is filed under the name Bacillota bacterium. RNAcentral's name for it is "Firmicutes bacterium partial 16S ribosomal RNA". It matches the Rfam family "Bacterial small subunit ribosomal RNA", at positions 355 to 776 of the family's 1533-position model. The record is from RNAcentral. Lineage: Bacteria; Bacillati; Bacillota.